ACACGUAGGUAAUCUACCUUCGGGUGGGGAAUAACCCCGGGAAACCGGGGCUAAUACCGCAUAAUGCAGCGGCACCUAAUGGUGACAGUUGUUAAAGCGGGGGAUCGCAAGAUCUCGCGCCUGAAGAGGAGCCUGCGGCGGAUUAGCUAGUUGGCAGGGUAAUGGCCUACCAAGGCGACGAUCCGUAACCGGCCUGAGAGGGCGGUCGGUCACACUGACACUGACAUACGGGUCAGACUCCUACGGGAGGCAGCAGUCGGGAAUUUUGGGCAAUGGGCGAAAGCCUGACCCAGCAACGCCACGUGAAGGAUGAAAUCCCUCGGGAUGUAAACUUCGCAAGAACGGGAAGAAUAAGUUUGUGCUAACACCACAAGCGAUGACGGUACUGUUUGUAAGCUCCGGCUAACUCCGUGUCAGCAGCCGCGGUAAUACGGGGGGAGCAAGCGUUGUUCGGAUUUACUGGGCGUAAAGGGCGCGUAGGCGGCCUCCGCAAGUCACUUGUGAAAUCUCCGGGCUUAACUCGGAAAGGUCAACUGAUACUGCGGGGCUAGAGUGCGGAAGGGGCAACUGGAAUUCUUGGUGUAGCGGUGAAAUGCGUAGAUAUCAAGAGGAACACCUGCGGCGAAGGCGGGUUGCUGGGCCGACACUGACGCUGAGGCGCGAAAGCUAGGGGGGCGAACGGGAUUAGAUACCCCGGUAGUCCUAGCCUUAAACGAUGAAUGCUUGGUGUCUGGGGUUAUAUAGUCCCCGGGUGCCGUCGCUAACGCUUUAAGCAUUCCGCCUGGGGAGUACGGUCGCAAGACUGAAACUCAAAGGAAUUGACGGGGGCCCGCACAAGCGGUGGAGCAUGUGGUUUAAUUCGAUGCAACGCGAAGAACCUUACCUGGUCUUGACAUCCACGGAAGUUUUCAGAGAUGAGAAUGUGCCUUCGGGAACCGUGAGACAGGUGCUGCAUGGCUGUCGUCAGCUCGUGUUGUGAAAUGUUGGGUUAAGUCCCGCAACGAGCGCAACCCUUAUCCUUUGUUGCCAGCGGUCCGGCCGGGAACUCAAAGGAGACUGCCAGUGAUAAACUGGAGGAAGGUGGGGAUGACGUCAAGUCAUCAUGGCCCUUACGACCAGGGCUACACACGUGCUACAAUGGCGCAUACAAAGAGAAGCGACCUCGCGAGAGCAAGCGGACCUCAUAAAGUGCGUCGUAGUCCGGAUUGGAGUCUGCAACUCGACUCCAUGAAGUCGGAAUCGCUAGUAAUCGUGGAUCAGAAUGCCACGGUGAUACGUUCCCGGGCAUGCACACACUG
Molecule: ribosomal RNA, 1298 nt
Filed under: uncultured bacterium
Lineage: Bacteria
Description: bacterial SSU rRNA
Rfam family: Bacterial small subunit ribosomal RNA
Source: RNAcentral